This 253-nucleotide ribosomal RNA is filed under the name uncultured bacterium. RNAcentral describes it as "partial 16S ribosomal RNA". It matches the Rfam family "Bacterial small subunit ribosomal RNA", at positions 524 to 776 of the family's 1533-position model. The record is from RNAcentral.
UACGAAGGGUGCAAGCGUUAAUCGGAAUUACUGGGCGUAAAGCGCGCGUAGGUGGUUCAGUAAGUUGGAAGUGAAAUCCCCGGGCUCAACCUGGGAACUGCUUUCAAAACUGCUGAGCUAGAGUACGGUAGAGGGUGGUGGAAUUUCCUGUGUAGCGGUGAAAUGCGUAGAUAUAGGAAGGAACACCAGUGACGAAGGCGACCACCUGGACUGAUACUGACACUGAGGUGCGAAAGCGUGGGGAGCAAACAGG